Molecule: ribosomal RNA, 1355 nt
Filed under: uncultured marine eukaryote
Lineage: Eukaryota
Description: SSU rRNA
Rfam family: Eukaryotic small subunit ribosomal RNA
Source: RNAcentral
CACUUCUAAGGAAGGCAGCAGGCGCGCAAAUUACCCAAUCCUGACUCAGGGAGGUAGUGACAAGAAAUAACAAUAAACCGGCUUAUGCCGGUUUAAUUGGAAUGAGUACAAUUUAAACAUCUUAACGAGGAACAAUUGGAGGGCAAGUCUGGUGCCAGCAGCCGCGGUAAUUCCAGCUCCAAUAGCGUAUACUAAAGUUGUUGCAGUUAAAAAGCUCGUAGUUGGAUUUCUGUGGGGACGGAGCGGCCGGCCGCAACUCGCGGUUCGAGCUAGCGCUUUCCCUACAUCCUGCCGCGAACCGUGCUACCAUUAAUUUGGUGGCGCCGGGGAUCGGCUCGAUUACUUUGAGAAAAAUAGAGUGUUCAAAGCAGGCCACACGCCUUGAAUAAGUUAGCAUGGAAUAAUAACUAAGGACUUCGGUUCUAUUUUGUUGGUGUUCGGGACUGAAGUAAUGAUUGAUAGGGACAGUUGGGGCGGUCUGUAUUCCAAAGCGAGAGGUGAAAUUCUUAGACCUUCGGAAGACAAACAGCUGCGAAAGCGUUCCGCAAGGAUGUUCCCUUUGAUCAAGAACGAAAGUUGGGGGAUCGAAGACGAUCAGAUACCGUCGUAGUCUCAACUAUAAACUAUACCAGCUAGGGAUCGGCCAACGUUAUUUAAACCGACUUGGUCGGCACCUUAUGAGAAAUCAAAGCAUCUGGGUUCCGGGGGGAGUAUGGUCGCAAGGCUGAAACUUAAAGGAAUUGACGGAAGGGCACCACCAGCCGUGGAGCCUGUGGCUUAAUUUGACUCAACACGGGAAAACUUACCAGGUCCAGACAUAGUAAGGAUUGACAGAUUGAUAGCUCUUUCUUGAUUCUGUGGGUGGUGGUGCAUGGCCGUUCUUAGUUGGUGGAGUGAUUUGUCUGGUUAAUUCCGUUAACGAACGAGACCCCAGCCUGCUAAAUAGCGCGCGUGAGCUUUGCUCGCGGCGAGCUUCUUAGAGGGACUAUGAUGCGCGAUAGCACAUGGAAGUUUGGGGCAAUAACAGGUCUGUGAUGCCCUUAGAUGUUCUGGGCCGCACACGGGCUACACUGGCGCCUGCAACGAGCAUAUCAGCUGGCCCGAGAGGGUCUUGGCUAAUCUUUUGAACCGGCGCCGUGCUUGGGAUUGACCUUUGCAAUUGUUGGUCAUGCAACGAGGAAUGCCUUGUAAACGCGAGUCAUCAGCUCGCAUUGAAUACGUCCCUGCCCUUUGUACACACCGCCCGUCGCUCCUACCGAUGAAUGUUCCGAUGAAAUUUUCGGAGAGUGCCUGUGAACUUGGCUCUGCCUUGCGAACGGGAAGCUCAAAGUCACUUAAAUCUGAACAUUUCGAGG